GAUGAACGCUGGCGGCGUGCUUAACACAUGCAAGUCGAACGAUGAACCUCACUUGUGGGGGGAUUAGUGGCGAACGGGUGCGUAACACGUGAGUAACCUGCCCUUGACUCUGGGAUAAGCCUGGGAAACCGGGUCUAAUACUGGAUACGACCUUCUGGCGCAUGCCAUGUUGGUGGAAAGCUUUUGUGGUUUUGGAUGGACUCGCGGCCUAUCAGCUUGUUGGUGGGGUAAUGGCCUACCAAGGCGACGACGGGUAGCCGGCCUGAGAGGGUGACCGGCCACACGGGGACUGAGACACGGCCCAGACUCCUACGGGAGGCAGCAGUGGGGAAUAUUGCACAAUGGGCGCAAGCCUGAUGCAGCGACGCCGCGUGAGGGAUGAAGGCCUUCGGGUUGUAAACCUCUUUCAGUAGGGAAGAAGCCGGCUUUUGGGUUGGUGACGGUACCUGCAGAAGAAGCGCCGGCUAACUACGUG
This 475-nucleotide ribosomal RNA is filed under the name uncultured bacterium. RNAcentral's name for it is "partial 16S ribosomal RNA". It matches the Rfam family "Bacterial small subunit ribosomal RNA", at positions 28 to 507 of the family's 1533-position model. The record is from RNAcentral.